CGAUUAUGUAAAGGAUCAAGUUAUAAUUUUCUUUGCAAAACAUUAUAUAAAUUAAAAUCGCUCUAUAUCUAUGAACAUGAACUAACACGGACGAAUAAGAACAUUUAGCAUAAAAAUAAUGUCUCUACCUAUGGAUCGUUUGCAGAUGAGAAAGGUUUAAUAGGAGGAGACAUCUGGAAGGGCGAGUGCAAGUAUUCCGUUAUUUCGGCGGCAAUAGUGGAGGAAUACGGUUUGAAGACAUUAGUUAGGUGACUUGCAGACAAGUUGGCUUCUUGUAUAGGGCUACGCGCCCAUCCACCUUGUGGACAGCGAAUUGGAGGGAUUAUUUGCGGAGGACGAGUGAGUUUCCUGGAUGCCUUCCAUAGUAUAUUGAGGCUGAUGUUGAAUGAGAUGUUGAUGAGAGCAGCCAGUUUGUGAGUUGGUUAUGAAUAAAGCCAUUAGGUUGAUUUUCGAUAAUUGUUGAGUUAAUUGUUGCUAUGACGGGUGAAUGAUCUGAAGAGAGUUCCACAGAAGAGUUGAUUUGGAUAUAUCUUGGCGAGAUGUUUUUAGUUAUAAAGAAGUCUAAUAAGUCAGAUAGUUUGUUAGUGUCAGUGAGCCAGUAAGUGGGUUCGUUUGUACUGAGGUCUCCGAGGAAUUUAUCGAAGUCUUCUUUGGAAAUAGAAUGUCUAGGAGGGCAAUAUACUGCUGAUGUGGGUACUUUAAGUCAAAAUUAUAUCCAGAAACCACAUAAAUCGAAAGCAAAUCAUAUAAUAGAAGUAAUAGAAAAUAAAGGGGGAUGUACCCAUUAUUAAAUAAGUAUAUAUGUUUGAUAAGUAAUUAUGACGAAAAACUUUACACGCGUCAUUGAGAAAUUAAAGAUAGCUCACAUGGGCCAUCUCUUUGACGAGGAGUGUAAACAAGAGAUCGUUGCCUGGCCGCCACAUACGAAGGACAAAGGCACCAAGAAGCAGUCAUCAAGAGUAGGAUUAUUCCUCCGCUUUAUGAUACUCCCAGCUGAUGGUAUGACCGCCGGAUACGACGGGGCAGAUUUAUCUAGGCAGAUCCGUGUAAACAGAUUCACAGAUCAGAUACCAACAAUCAGUUGUAGUGUACGGUUCUCCUCUGUCUUACGAAGAUCAACGGUCAUGGAUUCGUAAUGGAUUCAUCAAGUACGGCUCGUCUCCGUCUCACGAGGUUCAAAGGUUGUGAUUUGACCGUCAGAUGUUCGCCUAGUGCCAUAUAUGAAUUUGGGAGAAACUAUUGGUCGACGUUCUGGGUAGUUCAAUUGGGAAAGCAAGCAGGACGAUCCUGGUUCGAUUUAUGAAAGCUAAUCGACUUUCCGUAUUUCCCGAGUUUUCUAUUCUCGAGAUUGCUUUCAAUAGCAUGACGUACUGUUGAUUUCAUAGCAUCGUAACUGAUGUUAAAGAUAUUCAAUGACCUAUGACCGUCAGGUCUCUAUUCAUAGUUUUCAUUUAUUCAUACACGAGGAACGUCGUCAGUGUCACGUAAUUUUUAGGGUUGGUUGGUGAAAAUAAAAUAUAGUUGAGUCGUAACACAACAAUUAACUUUGUUUUAAUCAACCUUUAUUGUAAAUUCACCAAUCACAAUGUAACACGCACUGAAUUAGCAUAAAUCACAAUUCACUCCAACCACGUUAUGUAAGACUUAGUUACAACAAUAUAUUAAGUACGCGACUUAUAAGGGUAGAGACCGAUAUAGAUAUGUUGACUAUUCUAAGGAUACAGAAUAAGUGAAGUUUUACUGACGAUACUGUGUCUGAGGAAAGUUAGGGGUGGGGUGGGGGGGUGUGUCUAAGGACACGGGACUAUCGAAUUUGUUGAUGACAAUUUUAGUUAGGGAAGUGGGGGCAUUAGACACCGUCUCCGAUUGGAUAAUAAGACGGUUGGUGGACCAGGAAGGUCCUCGUGAGAAAGUUGCUAACGGAACAUAUCAGACGUGAGGAAUACCAACUUUCAGCCACUAAAUAUCAUAGCGAUUGUUUUAUAUAUUUUAUCAUUAGACCGAGGAUUUUUGUGCAAAUUCAUAUUUUUAUGAACCUAAUUAAACAAAUGAAAAGUAGAAAUUUGACGGUAAACAUUAGGCAGCUUGUUUUAAACGUGGCAUAAUAGCACGGUAACGGUGCUAUUCGAUAUCCAUCGAGCAAAGUCUAAAAGUAUUUAAAAUAUUUAUCACCCAAUGAAUAUUGCAAUAAGCAUUGUGCUUUAAAUAUCUUUUAUAUUU
This is a long non-coding RNA of Bombus huntii, 2220 nucleotides long. RefSeq lists it as uncharacterized. The record is from RefSeq and is a predicted model, not a curated record. The transcript has 6 exons. Lineage: Eukaryota; Metazoa; Arthropoda; Insecta; Hymenoptera; Apidae.